RNAcentral lists this ribosomal RNA (253 nucleotides) under uncultured bacterium. RNAcentral's name for it is "partial 16S ribosomal RNA". It matches the Rfam family "Bacterial small subunit ribosomal RNA", at positions 524 to 776 of the family's 1533-position model. The record is from RNAcentral.
UACGUAGGGAGCGAGCGUUGUCCGGAAUUACUGGGUGUAAAGGGAGCGUAGGCGGGAUUGCAAGUUGGAUGUGAAAACUGCGGGCUCAACCCGGAGCGUGCAUUCAAAACUGCGAUUCUUGAGUGAAGUAGAGGCGAGCGGAAUUCCUAGUGUAGCGGUGAAAUGCGUAGAUAUUAGGAGGAACACCAGUGGCGAAGGCGGCUUGCUGGGCUUUUACUGACGCUGAGGCUCGAAAGUGUGGGGAGCAAACAGG